Molecule: long non-coding RNA, 259 nt
Organism: Octopus sinensis (East Asian common octopus)
Lineage: Eukaryota; Metazoa; Mollusca; Cephalopoda; Octopoda; Octopodidae
Exons: 2
Source: RefSeq, a predicted model, not a curated record
UAUAUAUAUAUAUAUAUAUAUAUAUAUAUAUAUAUACAUUGGAAGACUGUCCAGGUUGCCAGCUUGCCCGAUGGCAAGUGGGCCCCUGUGCCAUUAGAAUCCAUAUAUGGGGGCCCAGGUUAGUAUCUAAGGAGCCCAUCCCCUAAAGUUUGAUAAUUUUUUAUUCACUCCUGGAAGAAUGCAUUAAUUAUUUCAGCCUGGCUGUGUUUGUAGACAGUUGAAAAGAAUACUUUUAACAAAAAAAAAAAAAAUUAAAUGA